AAUAGUUUUUUAAAUGGAAACUGGGAUGAAAGAAGUGAUGAAAUUUAGGCUGUCUUGAAUUAAAUUGUUAAAAUUAUUAGUUGAGUAAAAAUGCUUAGAUAUAAACAUGGGACGAGAAGACCCUAUAGAAUUUUAUAUAAAUUUAUUAAAAUUGAUUAAUUAAGGAAAUAAUAAUAAAAUUUAUAUUUUGUUGGGAGGAUGAUUAAAUUAAAAAAACUUUAAUAAGGUAAAAAACAUUGGUUUAUGGUUAGUAAAAAAAUGAGUGAUUAUUAAAAUUAAAUAGAAUUAAUUACCUUAGGGAUAACAGCAUAAUAUCUUUAGAGAGAUCUUAUUAAUAAAGAUGUUUGU
RNAcentral lists this ribosomal RNA (348 nucleotides) under Pheidole pholeops. RNAcentral describes it as "partial 16S large subunit ribosomal RNA". Lineage: Eukaryota; Metazoa; Arthropoda; Insecta; Hymenoptera; Formicidae. The record is from RNAcentral.